Molecule: ribosomal RNA, 1818 nt
Filed under: Phyllobothriidea gen n. sp. 2 HR-2018
Lineage: Eukaryota; Metazoa; Platyhelminthes; Cestoda; Phyllobothriidea
Description: LSU rRNA
Rfam family: Eukaryotic large subunit ribosomal RNA
Source: RNAcentral
AAUUUAAGCAUAUCACUAAGCGGAGGAAAAGAAACUAACCAGGAUUCCCCUAGUAACGGCGAGUGAAGAGGGAUUAGCCCAGCACCGAAGCCUGCGGCAGUUUUGCUGUUAGGCAAUGUGGUGUUUGGGUCGGCUCGUGGGAUUGCCACUCCAUUCGAAGUCCAGCAUUGAGUAUGGUCACUGGAUUUGGCCCAGAGAGGGUGAAAGGCCCGUACGAAUGGAGGUUCAGACAAGUAAGGCAGUUCACCAGGCCGGCCUUAGAGUCGGGUUGUUUGAGAAUGCAGCCCAAAGUGGGUGGUAAACUCCAUCCAAGGCUAAAUACUAGCACGAGUCCGAUAGCGAACAAGUACCGUGAGGGAAAGUUGAAAAGUACUUUGAAGAGAGAGUAAACAGUACGUGAAACCGCAUGCAGGUAAACGGGUGGCGUCAAGCUGCAAGCCCGGAGGAUUCAGCUGGCUAGGAUGUUGUAUAUGCGCCUGGCGCAUCUAUCAGUCGGAGUAGGAUGUGUUAGUCCACUGGGAUACGGUGGGCCCGGCCGCAAGGUUGGGAUAUGUGUACCGGGUGUUUGCCGGAGCAUGCUAUCCAUCUGUUGGACUGUCUAGUCAGUGCACUUUCUCUGUGGUGAACACCACGACCGGUGGUAUUGCCAGUCUGCUGUAGCCAAGUCGUAUUCAGUGGGUUCUUGUAAUCAACUGGGUGCGAUCACAGGCAAACUCAGUAAACGGCGUAGGGGUGUUUCGGCAUCUCUGCGUGUUAUCGGCUACUGGUUGUCAACGGGCCUGCCUGAUGAUUGUUGUAAUCGUCGUCGGGUGGUCUGGUGGGUUAUGGUGGUAUGAAUAACUGUGCAAGGCACCGGAGUUCUCGGCCUCAAAUGCAUCCUGCGCACACAUUACAAGUGGAGCGGGGUGCCAUUGUAGCCUGCCUAAUGUUGGGUCUGAUUGUCGUGUCGCCUGCGAAAAGUGGGCCCGGCAGUGGCCUGAUGUGGGAUGGGUUGCGGAUGGUGCCUCCUGUGUAGGGUGCUGUUGGCCAAAUAGUCAGUGGUGUAGUGGUAGACGAGCUACCCGACCCGUCUUGAAACACGGACCAAGGAGUUUAACAUGUAUGCAAGUCAAAGGGCCCUACGAAACCCCAAGGCGCAGUGAAAGUAAAGCUUCGACCUGUUCUCGGAGUGAGGUGAGAUCCUGCCGUUACUCGCAUCAGCCUUAUGUCAGCAUCAGGCUAAGAGCGGUGGGCGCAUCACCGGCCCGUCCCAUGAUGUGGUCAUUGGAUUUCUGUAGUCGUUGCUUGCAGCGGCUGUGGAGCCAGUGCGUCAUCGGGGCGGAGCAUGAGCAUACAUGUUGAGACCCGAAAGAUGGUGAACUAUGCUUGCGUAGGUUGAAGCCAGAGGAAACUCUGGUGGAGGACCGCAGCGAUUCUGACGUGCAAAUCGAUCGUCAAACGUGAGUAUAGGGGCGAAAGACUAAUCGAACCAUCUAGUAGCUGGUUCCCUCCGAAGUUUCCCUCAGGAUAGCUGGCGCUCAUUCGCAUGAUCAGUUUUAUCCGGUAAAGCGAAUGAUUAGAGGUACUGGGUUCGAAACGAGCUCAACCUAUUCUCAAACUUUAAAUGGGUGAGAUGCCCGGCUCGCCUAAUAGGAGUCGGGCGUUGAAUGUGUGAGUGCCAAGUGGGCCAUUUUUGGUAAGCAGAACUGGCGCUGUGGGAUGAACCAAACGCUCGGUUAAGGUGCCUAACGCGACGCUCAUGAGAUACCACAAAAGGUGUUGGUUAAUAUAGACAGCAGGACGGUGGCCAUGGAAGUCGGCAUCCGCUAAGGAGUGUGU